GAGCGGAAGGCCUCUUCGGGGGUACUCGAGCGGCGAACGGGUGAGUAACACGUGAGUAAUCUGCCCCUGGCUUUGGGAUAGCCACCGGAAACGGUGAUUAAUACCGGAUAUGACCACUUUACGCAUGUUUGGUGGUGGAAAGUUUUUCGGCCAGGGAUGUGCUCGCGGCCUAUCAGCUUGAUGGUGAGGUAAUGGCUCACCAUGGCUUCGACGGGUAGCCGGCCUGAGAGGGUGACCGGUCACACUGGGACUGAGACACGGCCCAGACUCCUACGGGAGGCAGCAGUGGGGAAUAUUGGACAAUGGGCGGAAGCCUGAUCCAGCAACGCCGCGUGAGGGAUGACGGCCUUCGGGUUGUAAACCUCUUUCAGUAGGGACGAAGCGCGAGUGACGGUACCUACAGAAGAAGCACCGGCCAACUACGUGCCAGCAGCCGCGGUAAUACGUAGGGUGCGAGCGUUGUCCGGAAUUAUUGGGCGUAAAGGGCUCGUAGGCGGUUUGUCGCGUCGGGAGUGAAAACGCCGUGCUUAACACGGCGCUUGCUUUCGAUACGGGCAGACUAGAGGUAUUCAGGGGAGAACGGAAUUCCUGGUGUAGCGGUGAAAUGCGCAGAUAUCAGGAGGAACACCGGUGGCGAAGGCGGUUCUCUGGGAAUAUCCUGACGCUGAGGAGCGAAAGUGUGGGGAGCG
This 689-nucleotide ribosomal RNA is filed under the name Nocardioides ganghwensis. RNAcentral describes it as "bacterial SSU rRNA". It matches the Rfam family "Bacterial small subunit ribosomal RNA", at positions 64 to 770 of the family's 1533-position model. Lineage: Bacteria; Bacillati; Actinomycetota; Actinomycetes; Propionibacteriales; Nocardioidaceae. The record is from RNAcentral.